GGGUUCUACCGUUGGUCGGGCAAUAGUCUGUACUGGCGUGUAGAAUUUCUACCUUCUGGGGAACCAUCAUGUUAUUUAUUUAGCGUGGUGGGAAACCAGGACCUUUACCUUGAAAAAAUUAGAGUGUUCAAAGCAGGCUUACGUCUGAAUACAUUAGCAUGGAAUAAUAAAAUAGGACGGUGGUCCUGUUUUGUUGGUUUCUGAAUCACCGUAAUGAUUAAUAGGGAUAGUUGGG
This 235-nucleotide ribosomal RNA is filed under the name uncultured Gigasporaceae. RNAcentral's name for it is "partial 18S ribosomal RNA". The stretch from base 39 to 235 matches the Rfam family "Eukaryotic small subunit ribosomal RNA", at positions 686 to 886 of the family's 1831-position model. Lineage: Eukaryota; Fungi; Glomeromycota; Glomeromycetes; Diversisporales; Gigasporaceae. The record is from RNAcentral.